This 191-nucleotide unclassified non-coding RNA is filed under the name uncultured Paecilomyces. RNAcentral describes it as "sequence contains ITS1". The record is from RNAcentral. Lineage: Eukaryota; Fungi; Ascomycota; Eurotiomycetes; Eurotiales; Thermoascaceae.
CCGAGUUUACAACUCCCAAACCCCUGUGAACUUAUACCUUUACUGUUGCUUCGGCGGGUUAUUGCCCCGGGGAAACAGGCGGCCGUCAGGUCCCUGCCCACCCGGAAACAGGCGCCCGCCGGGGGACUCAAACUCUAUAUUUAUUUUUGUUUUACUGUAUACUGUCUGAGUACAAUCAUAAUAAUGAAUCA